Rattus norvegicus (Norway rat) is the source of this 131-nucleotide small nuclear RNA. Ensembl annotates it as U4 spliceosomal RNA. NCBI's taxonomy places the organism in Eukaryota, Metazoa, Chordata, Mammalia, Rodentia, Muridae. The record is from Ensembl.
CCCUCUUGGCAGUAUCAUCGUAGCCAAUGAGGUUUAUCCGAGGCACGAUUAUUGCUAAUUGAAAACUUUCCCCAAUAGAAUACUGAGGUGGAGGAAAGUCUCUACCUGGAGUGUCCAAGUAGUUUGUUCUG